GCAUGGCCUGGCCACGAUUUUGGCAGAGAGGAGCUCUCCUCACCAGCUUCAGCCAUCACCAUGUUGCCGUGUUCCUGCUUAUGUUCUUCAGCACUUCAUUGCUCCGUGCAUCAUGAAAAAUGUUUAGCAACAUGAAAGUCAGUAUUUCCAAGCAGUGGACCCCAAAUGCUUUUAACACAUCAGUUGACCUGCCUGCAGAGAUGUGGAGCAGCAACCCUCUGUUUCCCAGCACAGAGGAAGCCACUCUUUUUCUUGGAACACUAGAUACUAUGGUUUUUUCUCCUGUGCUGUGGGCAUCUUCAUCAGUGGGUUCUGUCUUUCAGCAUGUACUCUUCUGCAUUUGUGGUGUUUGUCUUUGGUAUUCUUGCGGAAUGGCUGUACUUCUACAAGUGGUUCUACUGUGGCCUGUGGAUUGUGAACAGCCUGCUGCAGUUCACUGGUUGGCCCUGUGUGAUUGCUGUGAUGGGCAACUGGUUUGGGAAAGCUGACUGAGGAGUUUUCUUUGGUUUCUGGAGUGCCUGUGCUUCAGUGGGCAAAAUUUUGGGAGCAUGCCUGGCUUCAUCGGUUCUCCAGUAUGGUUAUGAGUACACCUUUCUGUCAUACUGUAAUCACUGCCUGAAGCUAGUGAAUUACUCCUUCGUCUUCUGGUUGCCCUUUUAUCUGAGUAACAACUUCGGGUGGAAGGAAGCUGAAGCUGACAAGUUGUCCAUUUGGUACGAUGUUGGAGGCAUCGUAGGAGGGACUCUGCAAGGCUUCAUCUAUGAUGUACUGAAGAAGAGAGCUCCUGUGCUGGCCCUCAGCCUCUUCCUGGCCAUUGGGUCCCUUGUUGGGUAUAGUCACUCUCCAAACAAUAAGUCCAUCAAGGCGCUUCUGAUAACCGUUACAGGGUUUCUUACUGGUGGAGCAUCCAAUAUGGUUAGCUCUGCUAUUUCUGCAGACUUGGGUCACCAAGAGCUGAUCCAAGGAAGCAGCGAGGCUCUGGGGACUGUCACAGGGAUCAUCAAUGGAACCAGGAAUAUUGGUGCCAGUAUCUGGUGUCUUUGAUCCAGGACAACUUAGGAUGGAUGUGGGUUUUCUACUUUUUUAUUCUCAUGACAAGUUGUACAAUUCUGUUUACCUCACCGUUAAUAUUGAGGGAAGUAUUCUCUCUUGUGCAAAGGAGACAAGUUCACACACUUAAUGAAUGA
Molecule: RNA transcript, 1187 nt
Organism: Mus pahari (shrew mouse)
Lineage: Eukaryota; Metazoa; Chordata; Mammalia; Rodentia; Muridae
Gene name: sugar phosphate exchanger 3-like
Exons: 2
Source: RefSeq, a predicted model, not a curated record